Molecule: long non-coding RNA, 2388 nt
Filed under: Triticum aestivum (bread wheat)
Lineage: Eukaryota; Viridiplantae; Streptophyta; Magnoliopsida; Poales; Poaceae
Description: long non-coding RNA (TAES_LNC025847)
Source: RNAcentral
CACACCUCACUAAGCACAAUAAUAAAUGACCAAUAACAAAUCUAAACACCAUUCAUCACUUUGCAUAAAUAGAUUCAAGUUGAUUUACAACAAAUUCAGAGUAUUUACAGUGAAAGGUUUUAGCAUGGCACUCACGAUCACCUAAACGGAAGGUUGACACUAUAUGAAGAUAGUGUCUUCCUCCAGGCUUAGACCUUCACUCCCGUCCACGGAAAAGCUGUGGGUCACCUGCAAACAACUUAACGGCAGCACUGUGAGUACAAAAGUUACUCCGCAGGACUUAUCCAACAUAUGGGUAUAUACUUGCCCGACUCUCAAUGAGUAUGCAUUUGGUUUAGUAGCAAGGAAGGGCAAUAGGUAAAUAAGUUGCAUAAAAAGCACCUAGUAAAGUUUACUGUGAUAUAAACAAAUAAAGACCUGGCAUUCUAUGCUCUAAGCCAAACAUCAAGCAAGUACAUGAAGUAAGGUGAUCAAGUAUAUGAGCUCAGUCUUCCAUGAACUCCCAACGGUAACUCUACUUUGAGACUCUAAACUCAAGAGCGUGCUCCGUGACUUGGAGCGAGGCUAUUGCAAUAGAUUACAACCCUACAGGGGUGUACAACUGUACCCACACAAAAGGCAAGACCAACGACCAUAUCCCUGUACACAAGAUAAGUGUUAAUUCAUGCCCCCAACCUUUCACAUACCCGCACCCCACUAUGAACGAACGGCCGGAAGUGUAUAGGUGCACCGAACGCAGCCUGAUCACACCUCAUCACACCCCGCUCUCGAAUUUCGGUCAAGGAACGGUGCGACUUAUGCUACUUGGCUUACCUACCCAUAAUCAGCAUGUGGUUUGUACAAAAAAGUGCUCAAGAGCCUAGCUACAAAGAUAGGUCCUCAAUCAACUCAAUCAAGUCUAAAUCAAGUGAGCUCCAAUCUCAAAUGACCCUAGCACACUUGCUCAAGUCUCGAAACAUGAUUAUCAUGGCUCAAAUUUUAAACCAAACAUAGCUAUCCAAGUAUUAUUAGAUCAAGCAUAGAUAUAGCUCGCGAGGGGUGGUGACCUUGCCACUUCUCGACUUCUACCGAAGCUAAGCAUGGAUAAGCAAUUAUAAACGUGACACCUAACAAGCAUACUCACCUAAAGGAGGUUAUUCUAGAUCAAGGAAGGAUAAAUGCAUAAAGAUAGGAGCUAAGCAAACAUAUACACUAAUAUUGACUUAUGCACAUACAAGACACAUAUACACAUUUGAUCCAAAUUAGGGUUCAAAGAAUGCUUAGGUGCCUGCCUUGGGUGCCAACCGAGGCAUCGUUGGCGAUGGGGUCUUGUUGGGACUCGCCGACCUCUUGCUCCAGCGCUUCGGUCUCUACACGAAAUGCAAUGAUACAAAAUAAAUAAACAUACCAUGAAUGAGUGCAAUGACAUGAGAAAAAAUAUACUCAAAUAUGAUCUAACAAAAUUGGUUUCAUGAUUUUUGGACUAAAAGAGAAUUAACUAUGCAAUUAACAAGAUUAAAACUCAUAUAAUUAAUUCAGAAAAUUAAUUAAUUAUUUUGUGAGAAAACUCAUUUUUAACAGGUUCUUUACAUCAUUGGAAAACCAACAAAAUUUGUUCACAUUUUUCUGAGCUAUAUGCAAUUUUAUAUGAAUUUUACAAAAAUGAUACAUGGGCUGUGAAUAGUAACUGCGGACCGUCCGUGGUCAACUGACGGACUGUCCGCGAUGAGCUGACGGACUGUUCGAACCUCAUGUACGGACUGUUCGCGGGACCCCGAAAAUCCAAAAUCAUCUCUGGAUGAUUUGGUUUUGAUUACGGACAGUCCGUCCGGGACUCUCGGACUGUCCACGGAUGAGGUGUGGCUCGCCGUCGAGCUCGCCGGCGGCGACUCCGGCCAUGUUUUUGGAUGGAGUUUGUUUCUAUGGGUUGCUAGAAGUGUAUAGAGGUGAUUCCAAGUGAUAGAUUUGAGAGAAAACAAGUUUUAGAAGCUCGAACCCAUCAAUGGUGAUUGGGAACCCUAGGUUUCCAUAGAUGGGGCUAGGGAGCUUGAUUGAUGGCAAAGGAAGAGAGGGAGCGGUGAGGAAAGCUCACCGACGAUGAGUAGAGCAUGAUCUUGAUGCCGCUUGUUGACGUAGGGCAACGUAGAAGUAGAUCGGGCCGAGUUCAUCCUUGAGAGCUUGAGGAAGAAGAAGAGGAAAAGCUUGGGCUUGACCUUUCCCAUGGUUCCCGGCGAGGAGGAGGUGGUGGAGAAGCUUGUCAGGGACAUCCUCCGGCGAUCUCCGGUGAGGUUGGUGGUGGAUUUGGUGGGGGGAGGAGUUUGCUCCCUCCAUGGCUCCAUGGGGAAGAGAGGAGGAGAAGGGAGGCAAUGGGGGAGAGAAUGAGAGUGAGAGAAAGUGAGUGAGACGUAC